GUAUGUGAGGGCGAUCUGGCUGCGACAUCUGUCACCCCAUUGAUCGCCAGGGUUGAUUCCGCUGAUCUGGCUGGCUAGGCGGGUGUCCCCCUCCUCCCUCACUGAUCCAUGUGCGUCCCUCCUGAAGCUGCCUGCUCUGCUCGGUGGAAGAGGACGACCUCACCCCCCCCCCCUCACUGAUCCAUGUGCGUCCCUCCUGAAGUUGCCUGCUCAGUGGAAGAGGACGACCUCCCCCCCCGACCCCCGGGGAGAGGACCGGUCUUCGGUCAAGGGUAUACGAGUAGCUGCGCUCCCCUGCUAGAACCUCCAAACAACCACAAUGAUACAGAGUAUAUUCACCUAGUCUGGAUGUUAAGAAAGAUGAACCCGGAGGGCUGGGGGCAGCAAAAAUAAACAUUUAAGCUCAUACCU
RNAcentral lists this small nuclear RNA (411 nucleotides) under Myotis davidii. RNAcentral's name for it is "7SK RNA". It matches the Rfam family "7SK RNA". Rfam says of the family: 7SK was discovered as an abundant small nuclear RNA in the mid-70s but a possible function has only recently been suggested. Two independent studies have found that 7SK RNA binds the CDK9/cyclin T complex (known as elongation factor P-TEFb). P-TEFb activates transcription by phosphorylating the C-terminal domain of RNA polymerase II. Lineage: Eukaryota; Metazoa; Chordata; Mammalia; Chiroptera; Vespertilionidae. The record is from Rfam by way of RNAcentral.